AGUUAAUUAACUUAUAAGUAAGUAUAUGUCUUGAAAGCAUAAUUAAAGAAGUUCAAAUCUUCUAUUAACUU
RNAcentral lists this transfer RNA (71 nucleotides) under Atractomorpha lata. RNAcentral describes it as "tRNA-Ser". It matches the Rfam family "tRNA". From Rfam's summary of the family: Transfer RNA (tRNA) molecules are approximately 80 nucleotides in length. Their secondary structure includes four short double-helical elements and three loops (D, anti-codon, and T loops). Further hydrogen bonds mediate the characteristic L-shaped molecular structure. tRNAs have two regions of fundamental functional importance: the anti-codon, which is responsible for specific mRNA codon recognition, and the 3' end, to which the tRNAs corresponding amino acid is attached (by aminoacyl-tRNA synthetases). tRNAs cope with the degeneracy of the genetic code in two manners: having more than one tRNA (with a specific anti-codon) for a particular amino acid; and 'wobble' base-pairing, i.e. permitting non-standard base-pairing at the 3rd anti-codon position. Lineage: Eukaryota; Metazoa; Arthropoda; Insecta; Orthoptera; Pyrgomorphidae. RNAcentral also lists the same sequence under 2 other names. The record is from RNAcentral.